GUGUGCACUAGCUUUAUCUGGGGGAUAGCCUUUCGAAAGGAAGAUUAAUACCCCAUAAUAUGUUGAAUGGCAUCAUUCGACAUUGAAAACUCCGGCGGAUAGAGAUGGGCACGCGCAAGAUUAGAUAGUUGGUGAGGUAACGGUCACCAAGUCUACGAUCUUUAGGGGGCCUGAGAGGGUGAUCCCCCAACUGGUACUGAGACACGGACCAGACUCCUACGGGAGGCAGCAGUGAGGAAUAUUGGACCAAUGGGUGAGAGCUUGAUCCAGCCAUCCCGCGUGAAGGACGACUGCCUAUGGGUUGUAAACUUCUUUUGUAUCAGGGAUAAAACUACCCUCGUGAGGGGUAGCUUGAAGGUACUAUACGAAUAAGCACCGGUAACUCCGUGCCCAGAGCCCGGGGUAAUACGGAGGGUUGCAGCCGUUAAUCCGGGACUCAAUCUGGGGGUAUCACAAGGGGUCCGGUAAGGCCGGGAUCCUGGUAACAGGCACCAGCGCGGUGUGAAAAAUUCUCAACCAUGUUUUAACACUUGGUUGAAACCCUUCGGCACAUUUAGAACCUUGCAGAGGGGGCCCCCAUCUCGAGACGACUCAGGGCGC
Molecule: ribosomal RNA, 600 nt
Filed under: uncultured bacterium
Lineage: Bacteria
Description: bacterial SSU rRNA
Rfam family: Bacterial small subunit ribosomal RNA (bases 1-430)
Source: RNAcentral